UCCCUGCUGGCGCAAUGGUAGCGCGCAAGACUUCUAUUAAUGAUCUCGAAUCCAUUCUAAUCGUCAAUGGCAGUAUAUCUUGAGGCUGCAGGUUCGAAUCCUGCGUGGGGAG
Non-coding RNA from Ciborinia camelliae, 112 nucleotides. The record is from the annotation of a GenBank genome assembly. Lineage: Eukaryota; Fungi; Ascomycota; Leotiomycetes; Helotiales; Sclerotiniaceae.